AAGGAAGCGAGGGGGAAACACCCAUCCAUGUCACUUGGUGGUCCAGUUGUCUCCAUGGGCUCCAGCUGAGAUUUCAGUCAACUCUGGAGUUGCUCAACAGCUGUGCUAGGGGCUGUACACUCAUCAUGAGACAAGUGGUCUUCCCUGCAACUGAAGGAGAGAGAAACAAGAGCUGGAUGUGAAGAACAAUUAGCAAUGGCCUGGGAUAAAAGAGUUUGUUACAGCUGGGGAUGCGCCAGUCUGAGGAGAGAGGAAGGGGAGGCAGGUG
Long non-coding RNA from Manacus vitellinus (golden-collared manakin), 268 nucleotides. The record is from Ensembl. NCBI's taxonomy places the organism in Eukaryota, Metazoa, Chordata, Aves, Passeriformes, Pipridae.